CAUUGGUUGAGAAUAUUGACGUCACUGAUUUAAUUUAAAGGGAGCUAUGGCUGAAGGCGAGGAAUCUCUGGAAGAAAGUCUCCAGAGGACGAGUUCUUCCUCUUUAAAGGUAAUGUAUUAAUCUUUACAUUAUGUUAAGUACAUACAAUAUUAUACGUAUUCCGUUAUUUUACUCCGGAGGCGAUACUGAAUUUUAAAUAUCCGGAAAGUGAAAAAUCGAACUUCACGGAAGUCAGAAUUAGCUGGAAACUCGGCAAUAAUAUAACGGAACUAGAUUCGGUAAAUGUUUAUAUUGCAUAUACAAUAAAUACCUUAAGACUGGUACUACUUGAAAACAGUGGUCCCGGUGCGCGCACUCGCGCUAGCUAGUCGUUACUAGUCGAUCCUAAAACGACUUGCGCGUAUGCAAAUGAAUAGAUUCGCGCAUACGCGAUACACAAAUUAAUAUUUUUCGAGCAAAGUAAAUAAUUUUUUAAACUAAGGAAAUAAAUUACUUAUUAUAAACAAAGUAAGGGUGUUUUUUUUUAAAUGUAUAUAAUUUUUUUAAACUAAGUAAAUAAACUAUUUAUUAUAAACAAACUAAGGUUUUUUUUUUUUAAUGUAUAUAAUUUUUUUACACAAAUUAAAUAAUAUUUUUCGAACAAAGUAAAUAAAAAGCAAAUAGCAAAUAAAAAAUUGAAUAUCUUACAGUUCUUGCAAUUCGUUCGAAAAUGCCACCAAACAAUAAAAUGAAAUGUUGAAGUUCAUUUGAUUUCCUCGAAUGUGAACCAUUCUGAAAGGUGCUUCGGAAUGUUUUCAAAACAUUCCUUGCCACUUUUUCCGUAUUCUUCUCUCCAAAGAAAUUCGUCCAGGUACGAUUCCAUCAUGUUCGUGUGGACCCCCAUCAUAGUCUUCGGCUUUUUGCAUUCUUCCAAUAACAUUCCACAGAAUUUGCGUCUGCGAAAUUUUCCGAAUGGUUCACCUUGAAAUGGGUGUAUUUUGGUAUCACAUCCAUUUCAUUAAUACCAUUCUACGCACCCCAACAACCGGAAUAUAUCGGCAAUGUAAACAUGGUUCAAAACUUUCUUCUCCUUCAGAAACGAAUUUGCCGCAUGUGCGAUGCAAACAUGUAUCGCGCGUGCGCGAAUCUAUUCAUUUGCAUAUUCGUGAGUCGUUGUAGGAUCGACUACUUACGACUAGCUAGCGCGCACCGGGACCACUGUUCGCUAGUAGUGCCCAAGUACCGUAACUGCCAAUUAUAAACCCACGUGGGUUUAUUUACAUUUCUGAAGAAAAAAAGAAACCCUUUUCCUCCACCCCUAAUCCUAACAUAUAUAAAAAAAAACUUUACGGAAAGUGAUGAUCUUCUUCAAAUGUAAACAAAUAGACUUUAUCUGAUAACCUCCCACUCUCUUUCUCUUCUACUUCCUCGUUCCAUCUUUUUCUGUUCAUCUGAUUCCCCAACCCCUUUUCUUUUCUCAGUUUUUUUUUCUACGACCUACUCUCUCUCUCUCUCUCCUCUAUCUAUCUAUCUGUCUAUCAACAUUAUUUAAUGUCUUUACUUUUUCAGAUCGAUCCAGCUUCUCGUUUUAGGACAUGGACUUCAUAUAUCCUGUGAAAUGAAUACCGUGAUAUAGUAGAGUUGUUACUGCAGUCUUAACUUGAUGUAAUCUGGUGGAUAACUAUGCCAACCCAUUCACCUGGACGGUUUAACUUAAUAGUUGUGUUAAUAUAGUAUAAACACGAUGUCCUUUUUAUGGUAAGUUAAGAGUGAUGUAGAAUCAUUUCUUUUUAACUAUAACUUCCACAUAGUCUCUUACCUGGUGGUCAGUGCAGAAGCUAGGGAUAGAUGAGUGGUUUGGUGAGAGCUGUGCAAGCCAUGUACAGGGAUGCUGUCAGUAAGAUGAAAGUCAACGAAGGAAGUGUACAGGUGGGAGUUCACCAAGGAUUAGCUGUCAGCCCCCUCUUGUUUAUCGUAGUCCUCCAGGCCAUGCCAGGGGGAUUUAAGACAGGCUGCCUUUGAGAGACCUUGUUCUUAUUGCUGAAUCACUACCAGAACGAGAGAAGACAUUUCAGGUGUGGAAGCAAGGUUUGGAUUUUAAAGGCUUAGCAAAGACCAAAGUCCUAGUAAGUAGGAAAGCAGACAAAUCACUGAUCCCUUGAGGGAGAUGGCCCUGCUCAAUAUGUAGAAAAGGUGUUGGUAGAAAGUCCAUACAGUGUACCCAGUGCAGCAGUAUCAGGAAGGUUAACAGAGAAAGUAGUAUUUAUGUGAGGCAGACGUACAGGUAUAUUAAACACUAGGAAUGUACGGAAAAUAGACUCUCUCAAAUGUCCAGGUGAUUCUUAGAAGUAGUAGAUAGUUUCCAUUUACUUGGGCAACCAAGUUAGCAGUGGAGGAGGUGGUUCUGAAAGCAUAGAUGCUAGAAUAAGAAUGGUUCUAGGCAAAGCUUAGAGAGCUACUACUUUUGUUAGUAACAAAAGGCCUCUCCCUCAAAGUGGAAGGCAGAUUGUAUGAUGCCUGUGUAUGAAUAGCUAUGCUACAUAGCAGUGAGACAUGGGCUGUGGCAAAGCUUGAAAGAAAUGAAGCCAGCAUGCUCUGCUGGAUGGGUAAUGUCUGUGUGCAUUUACAACAGAAUGUAAGUGAUUUGAGAGAAAAAAUUGGGUCUGCAAGGCUUCAGUUGUGUACAAGAGGGAAGACUUCAUUGGUAUGGUCUUCUGGACAGGGACAGCUGCUACAAGAAGUGCUGAUCUAAUUGUAGAGGGAAUGUGUAGAAGGGGUGAACCCAGGAAGGUAGGGAUGAAGGGAGAAAAAGGAUCUUCAGACAUUGGGCCUCUCAGAAAUAACAUGGGAUCAAGAUUUCUGAUGGUUUGUAGUACUUGAGAAGACACAUCAAACUAAGUCAAAUCGUGGCUGUCCUUACAUAUAGGCCUGUCCUCCAUGUUCCUCUCUCAGCUAAGAGGUCCCAGUCUUGUGGACUCAUGGGUGCCAGUGUCAUGUAAAAGUAUCCAUAGAGGUGUCACAUUUAAAAGCACCAACUACACUCUGAAAAAUGGGGACAUUAGGAAGGGCAUCCAGCCAUAUAAACCAUGCCAAAACAGACAAAUGAAGAUUGGAUGUUAAAUGAUGGUUGUCUUGGAAUGAUAUUUUAAGAUAUUGAAAUGUUGAUAUUUCUGAGUUGUUAAUAGAGAAACAGUAAAAUAUGUUGCAAUCAAUAAGUUCCAUAGGUGCAGGUGUAUCUGUGUGGUUAAGAAGUAUCUUCUACUAUAGCCCUGGAAACUGAAACAAGUCUAUUAUAUACAUGUAUAUGUGUGCAUUUGUAUGUCCAUUCUUACAAGCAAUAUCAGUCAUUUCCAAUCUUCUACCUGGCCAUAGAAAAUUUACCUCAACAAACCUUGUCUGCCCCAUACAAGCAUGGCAAUGUAUGCAUUAAAUGAGGGUGAUGAAAUAUAUUGGAGCAAAUACAGUGCACAGCCUGUAUAAAUCAAGAGACUUCCCUUCAAAUGUUAACCAAUCUGUGCCAACAUUUCUAAUAAAAUACAUUGUUUAUAUGUUUCUAAUUUAUUUUGAAAAUAAAGAAUAAGGGAUUUACUAAAGUAAGUUUUGUAAUUAUUACUAAGCUACUGUUUAGAAUAGUAAUUUUAAAAAAAUAACUCUUAAACAUAAAAAUGGAAAUUUUUAUUUAAAUAGUAAACCCUAAAUUUUCUUAUUCUUAAGAUUUUUAACUAAAUUUACUUACAUAAUCAUAUGUUUGCCUUUAUCAUUUCAGAUAAGUCCUAAGAUUAUGAUUUUGAUUCGUCUUCAGAUUCAUCUUCAAAUAUCAGCAACACAGAAUAAAUGAUAUGUACAAUAUGCAUAGAGCAACUUUGGAACAUGGUCUUUGAAUGUGGUGGACAACUUUGUCAGUACCAUUUGUGUUGAGAAACUUUAAUAAAAGGAUUAUACAUUGAUCAGCUUUUUUCUUUUUUCUUUUUUUUUUCUUAUCUUUCCCUACCCUUCCACCAUCAUCGUCUCUUCCUAACUACUGCAGUAAUGGUUCCUACAGCUCUGUUAUUAAUAACCC
Molecule: long non-coding RNA, 4040 nt
Filed under: Octopus vulgaris (common octopus)
Lineage: Eukaryota; Metazoa; Mollusca; Cephalopoda; Octopoda; Octopodidae
Source: RNAcentral